UAAUUGAAACCAAAUUAAGAGGUAUGUCACUGUUAAUGAUAUAAUUGAGAUAUUCUCCAAUUAAGG
This 66-nucleotide transfer RNA is filed under the name Agapanthia daurica. RNAcentral's name for it is "tRNA-Asn". Lineage: Eukaryota; Metazoa; Arthropoda; Insecta; Coleoptera; Cerambycidae. The record is from RNAcentral.